This 455-nucleotide ribosomal RNA is filed under the name uncultured bacterium. RNAcentral describes it as "bacterial SSU rRNA". It matches the Rfam family "Bacterial small subunit ribosomal RNA", at positions 329 to 793 of the family's 1533-position model. The record is from RNAcentral.
CCCCAGACUCCUACGGGAGGCAGCAGUGGGGAAUCUUGCGCAAUGGGCGGAAGCCUGACGCAGCGACGCCGCGUGCGGGACGAAGGCCUUCGGGUCGUAAACCGCUUUCAGCAGGGACGAGGCCCUCACGGUGACGGUACCUGACUAAGAAGCCCCGGCUAACUACGUGCCAGCAGCCGCGGUAAUACGUAGGGGGCAAGCGUUAUCCGGAAUUACUGGGUGUAAAGGGAGCGCAGACGGCAGUGCAAGUCUGGAGUGAAAGCCCGUGGCUUAACCACGGGACUGCUCUGGAAACUGUGCAGCUAGAGUGCAGGAGAGGCAGGCGGAAUUCGUGGUGUAGCGGUGAAAUGCUUAGAUAUCACGAAGAACUCCGAUUGCGAAGGCAGCCUACUAAACUGCCACUGACAUUGAUGCUCGAAAGUGUGGGUAUCAAACAGGAUUAGAUACCCCCGUAC